Molecule: unclassified non-coding RNA, 335 nt
Filed under: soil metagenome
Description: partial contains 5.8S ribosomal RNA, internal transcribed spacer 2, and large subunit ribosomal RNA
Rfam family: 5.8S ribosomal RNA (bases 1-120)
Source: RNAcentral
GAUGAAGAACGCAGCGAAAUGCGAUAAGUAAUGUGAAUUGCAGAAUUCAGUGAAUCAUCGAAUCUUUGAACGCACAUCGCGCCCGCCAGUAUUCUGGCGGGCAUGCCUGUUCGAGCGUCAUUUCAACCAUCAAGCCCCCGGCUUGUGUUGGGGACCUGCGGCUGCCGCAGGCCCUGAAAACCAGUGGCGGGCUCGCUAGUCACUCCGAGCGUAGUAAUACAUCUCGCUCAGGGCGUGCUGCGGGUUCCGGCCGUUAAAAAGCCUUAUUUACCCAAGGUUGACCUCGGAUCAGGUAGGAAGACCCGCUGAACUUAAGCAUAUCAAUAAGCGGAGGA